UCUCCGUUGGCGAACCAGCGGAGGGAUCAUUACUGAGUUUACAACUCCCAACCCAUGUGAACGUACCUUUUGUUGCUUCGGCGGGAUGCCCCCGGCGCCUAGUGUGCCCGGGAAUCAGGCCCCCGCCGGAGGACCCAAACUCUUGUUUUUCUAUAGAACUUCUGAGUGGAUUAUUUUAAUAAUUAAAACUUUCAACAACGGAUCUCUUGGUUCUG
This 215-nucleotide unclassified non-coding RNA is filed under the name plant metagenome. RNAcentral describes it as "partial contains small subunit ribosomal RNA, internal transcribed spacer 1, and 5.8S ribosomal RNA". The record is from RNAcentral.